GAGCUCAGGGAAGAAGGCUACACGUCAGUCGCAAUUUCUCUUUGCUCUUCUUCAUCUUCUAUAUCUCUCUUUUUAAUUUUCAAUUUUGUUCAUAUUUAACUAUGCAAUCUCUAAUUAAUCUGAAAUAACUCAUCAAAAUGAAAUCAAAAGGGAAUCGAAGAAGCUACAUUACAAAUCUAUAUUUUAUUUUCUCGUUUGAUGUGUAUGCUUAAGAUCUUUUUUUUUUUUCCUUAGUUUUCACCUGAUACGCAUCAAAAUUUAAUUUCCCAUAUUUUGUGAAAGUAGGAUUUCUUUUUCUAUGGGUGAUUUCUAGCUUCUAUUUGGUAGCCUGGAAUAUCCCGAAUACGGAAGAAAGAAACUAUAAUACUGGACCUAACUGAGAAAAAAAGGGAAAGUUUUUUCUGGGUGAUGGUGGAGCUAGGAAAACUGAAUUUAACGGUUUUCAAGAGAUAUGCCAAGUGCGAUUAAAAUACACGGAAGCAAAUGUGCAUAGAACGUAGGAAACUGAAGGAUGCUGAGAUUGGAAACUUUGGUUCUUGGGUUAUUCGGGAGUGGGUGAAAAUCUGAAAUUUCCUCUACUGCGAUGCUUUGGGUUGUUUUUAGUGUGUUUUUAAAUCAUAAAAACCUCAAACAAAUGGUGGGUUUUGACUUUUGACGAUAAAUAUGGACUGUUGUAUAAAUUAAUACGCAUGAUUUUGUGCAUGAGUUGCUGCUAGUAAAUCAUAAAGCCGGCAAUCUACACUUGUCCUUCAUUUUGAACUUUAAGCAGUUCAGACAUGUUAUUCACAUUGUCAGUUUAGUUUAUUCUUUGAGCUUGACUGACUUUCUAUUCAUUUUGCUUCUUUUAUUUUGUUUAAUAUCUUUCAGGAAGUGCCUUUUGGAUGGAAAU
This 889-nucleotide unclassified non-coding RNA is filed under the name Hevea brasiliensis (rubber tree). The record is from RNAcentral. Lineage: Eukaryota; Viridiplantae; Streptophyta; Magnoliopsida; Malpighiales; Euphorbiaceae.